GUCUAUAGCUGUACUACCCUGAACAUGCCUGAUCUCAUCUAAUCUAAAAGAAGCUAAGUAGGGUUGGUUCUGGUUACUACUUGGAUGGGAGUAAGCUAUAGAAU
RNAcentral lists this ribosomal RNA (104 nucleotides) under Propithecus coquereli (Coquerel's sifaka). The record is from RNAcentral. Lineage: Eukaryota; Metazoa; Chordata; Mammalia; Primates; Indriidae.